UACGUAGGGGGCUAGCGUUGUCCGGAUUUAUUGGGCGUAAAGAGCGUGUAGGCGGCCAGAUAGGUCUGCUGUGAAAACUCGAGGCUCAACCUCGAGAUGUCGGCGGAAACCAUUUGGCUAGAGUCCGGAAGAGGAAAGUGGAAUUCCUGGUGUAGUGGUGAAAUGCGCAGAUAUCAGGAAGGACACCCGUGGCGAAGGCGGCUUUCUGGGACGGUACUGACGCUGAGACGCGAAAGCGUGGGGAGCGAACAGG
RNAcentral lists this ribosomal RNA (253 nucleotides) under uncultured bacterium. RNAcentral's name for it is "partial 16S ribosomal RNA". It matches the Rfam family "Bacterial small subunit ribosomal RNA", at positions 524 to 776 of the family's 1533-position model. The record is from RNAcentral.